Molecule: ribosomal RNA, 482 nt
Filed under: Shigella sonnei
Lineage: Bacteria; Pseudomonadati; Pseudomonadota; Gammaproteobacteria; Enterobacterales; Enterobacteriaceae
Description: partial 23S ribosomal RNA
Rfam family: Bacterial large subunit ribosomal RNA
Source: RNAcentral
GUCUGAAUAUGGGGGGCCCAUCCUCCAAGGCUAAAUACUCCUGACUGACCGAUAGUGAACCAGUACCGUGAGGGAAAGGCGAAAAGAACCCCGGCGAGGGGAGUGAAAAAGAACCUGAAACCGUGUACGUACAAGCAGUGGGAGCACGCUUAGGCGUGUGACUGCGUACCUUUUGUAUAAUGGGUCAGCGACUUAUAUUCUGUAGCAAGGUUAACCGAAUAGGGGAGCCGAAGGGAAACCGAGUCUUAACUGGGCGUUAAGUUGCAGGGUAUAGACCCGAAACCCGGUGAUCUAGCCAUGGGCAGGUUGAAGGUUGGGUAACACUAACUGGAGGACCGAACCGACUAAUGUUGAAAAAUUAGCGGAUGACUUGUGGCUGGGGGUGAAAGGCCAAUCAAACCGGGAGAUAGCUGGUUCUCCCCGAAAGCUAUUUAGGUAGCGCCUCGUGAAUUCAUCUCCGGGGGUAGAGCACUGUUUCGGCA